UUGACGGGGAGCACCACGAACGGGUGGAGCUUGCGGUUUAAUUUGGAUUCAACGCCGAAAUCUUACCGGGACCGACAGCAAUAUGAAGGCCAGGCUGAAGACUUUGCCGGAUUAGCUGAGAGGUGGUGCAUGGCCGUCGUCAGUUCGUACUGUGAAGCAUCCUGUUAAGUCAGGCAACGAGCGAGACCCACGCCCACAGUUGCCAGCGUACUCUCUGGAGUGACGGGUACACUGUGGGGACCGCCGCUGCUAAAGCGGAGGAAGGAAUGGGCAACGGUAGGUCAGUAUGCCCCGAAUAUCCCGGGCUACACGCGAGCUACAAUGGUUGGUACAAUGGGUAUCUACCCCGAAAGGGGACGGGAAUCUCCUAAAACCAAUCUUAGUUCGGAUUGAGGGCUGCAACUCGCCCUCAUGAAGCUGGAAUCCGUAGUAAUCGCGUUUCAACAGAACGCGGUGAAUACGUCCCUGCUCCUU
RNAcentral lists this ribosomal RNA (474 nucleotides) under uncultured Methanosaeta sp. RNAcentral's name for it is "bacterial SSU rRNA". It matches the Rfam family "Archaeal small subunit ribosomal RNA", at positions 871 to 1337 of the family's 1478-position model. Lineage: Archaea; Methanobacteriati; Methanobacteriota; Methanomicrobia; Methanotrichales; Methanotrichaceae. The record is from RNAcentral.